GCCCGAGUGGUGAAAUUGGUAGACACAAGGGAUUUAAAAUCCCUCGACGUUCGCGUCGUGCCGGUUCGAUUCCGGCCUCGGGCACCA
RNAcentral lists this transfer RNA (87 nucleotides) under Aeromonas caviae. RNAcentral's name for it is "tRNA-Leu". It matches the Rfam family "tRNA". Rfam says of the family: Transfer RNA (tRNA) molecules are approximately 80 nucleotides in length. Their secondary structure includes four short double-helical elements and three loops (D, anti-codon, and T loops). Further hydrogen bonds mediate the characteristic L-shaped molecular structure. tRNAs have two regions of fundamental functional importance: the anti-codon, which is responsible for specific mRNA codon recognition, and the 3' end, to which the tRNAs corresponding amino acid is attached (by aminoacyl-tRNA synthetases). tRNAs cope with the degeneracy of the genetic code in two manners: having more than one tRNA (with a specific anti-codon) for a particular amino acid; and 'wobble' base-pairing, i.e. permitting non-standard base-pairing at the 3rd anti-codon position. Lineage: Bacteria; Pseudomonadati; Pseudomonadota; Gammaproteobacteria; Aeromonadales; Aeromonadaceae. The record is from RNAcentral.